This 253-nucleotide ribosomal RNA is filed under the name uncultured bacterium. RNAcentral describes it as "partial 16S ribosomal RNA". It matches the Rfam family "Bacterial small subunit ribosomal RNA", at positions 524 to 776 of the family's 1533-position model. The record is from RNAcentral.
UACGGAGGAUCCAAGCGUUGUCCGGAUUUAUUGGGUUUAAAGGGUGCGUAGGCGGAUUAUUAAGUCAGAGGUGAAAGCCGGCAGCUCAACUGUCGAAUUGCCUUUGAAACUGAUAAUCUUGAGUAUAGUUGAGGUGGGCGGAAUGUGACAUGUAGCGGUGAAAUGCUUAGAUAUGUUACAGAACACCGAUUGCGAAGGCAGCUCACUAAACUAUUACUGACGCUGAGGCACGAAAGCGUGGGGAUCAAACAGG